This 408-nucleotide ribosomal RNA is filed under the name uncultured bacterium. RNAcentral's name for it is "bacterial SSU rRNA". It matches the Rfam family "Bacterial small subunit ribosomal RNA", at positions 997 to 1409 of the family's 1533-position model. The record is from RNAcentral.
UCUGCAGAGAUGUGGAAGUGCUCGAAAGAGAACUUGAACACAGGUGCUGCAUGGCCGUCGUCAGCUCGUGUCGUGAGAUGUUGGGUUAAGUCCCGCAACGAGCGCAACCCUUGUCAUUAGUUGCUACGCAAGAGCACUCUAAUGAGACUGCCGGUGACAAACCGGAGGAAGGUGGGGAUGACGUCAGGUCCUCAUGGCCCUUAUGGGUAGGGCUACACACGUCAUACAAUGGCCGGUACAGAGGGCUGCCAACCCGCGAGGGGGAGCCAAUCCCAGAAAACCGGUCGUAGUCCGGAUCGUAGUCUGCAACUCGACUGCGUGAAGUCGGAAUCGCUAGUAAUCGCGGAUCAGCUUGCCGCGGUGAAUACGUUCCCGGGUCUUGUACACACCGCCCGUCACACCAUGGGA